AUUGAACGCUGGCGGCAUGCCUUACACAUGCAAGUCGAACGGCAGCAUGGAGAGCUUGCUCUCUGAUGGCGAGUGGCGAACGGGUGAGUAAAGCAUCGGAACGUACCGUGUAGUGGGGGAUAACGUAGCGAAAGUUACGCUAAUACCGCAUACGCACUGAGGUGGAAAGCAGGGGAUCGUAAGACCUUGCGCUAUACGAGCGGCCGACGUCAGAUUAGCUAGUUGGUAGGGUAAAGGCCUACCAAGGCGACGAUCUGUAGCGGGUCUGAGAGGAUGAUCCGCCACACUGGGACUGAGACACGGCCCAGACUCCUACGGGAGGCAGCAGUGGGGAAUUUUGGACAAUGGGGGCAACCCUGACCCAGCCAUGCCGCGUGAGUGAAGAAGGCCUUCGGGUUGUAAAGCUCUUUCGGCCGGGAAGAAAUCGCACAGGCUAAUACCCUGUGUGGAUGACGGUACCGGCAUAAGAAGCACCGGCUAACUACGUGCCAGCAGCCGCCGUAA
Molecule: ribosomal RNA, 504 nt
Filed under: uncultured bacterium
Lineage: Bacteria
Description: partial 16S ribosomal RNA
Rfam family: Bacterial small subunit ribosomal RNA
Source: RNAcentral